RNAcentral lists this unclassified non-coding RNA (498 nucleotides) under Hevea brasiliensis (rubber tree). The record is from RNAcentral. Lineage: Eukaryota; Viridiplantae; Streptophyta; Magnoliopsida; Malpighiales; Euphorbiaceae.
UAAACAUUCAAAGUUAUUGUUGAUUCGCUUCUUCUCCAAAAAUCUCUCCAUUGUCUGUCAACGGUUCAACCCUAUUGUAUCUACGUGAGUAAUAUUUUCAGUGGCAGUGAUGAAUAGGUCGAUGGCAAUCUUGCUAACUCUAAUCCAACUUUCUCUGCUAUCUUCACUCGCGUUCGCAUCGGGGAGCACUGAUGGUUAUACAAUUAAUGGUCGAGUUAAAAUUCCUGGAUUUAGCUUAAAAGGAUCUGGUUUGGCAGCUAAAGCAUCAAAUGUUAAAGUCAUUCUCAAUAGUGGUCAACAAGUUACUUUCCUGAGACCUGACGGAUAUUUCUCUUUCCACAACGUGCCUGCAGGGACGCAUCUCAUAGAAGUAUCUGCAAUUGGCUACUUCUUUUCUCCAGUUCGAGUUGAUGUCAGUGCCAGAAAUCCUGGUAAGGUUCAAGCUGCAUUAACUGAGAAUAGGAGAAGCCUGAGUGAGCUGGUUUUGGAGCCACUGCG